UUUUUGAAAAUAAUAUAAAGUCUAACCUGCCCACUGAUUUUAUUAAAGGGCCGCGGUAUAUUGACUGUGCAAAGGUAGCAUAAUCAUUUGUCUUUUAAUUGAAGGCUAGAAUGAAUGGUUGAAUGAAGUAUUAACUGUCUCACUUUAAAAAUUUAAAAAUUUAAUUUUUUAGUUAAAAAGCUAAAAUAUUUUUAGAGGACGAGAAGACCCUAUAGAUCUUUAUAAUUUAAUUUAAUUAAAAUUUAGUUUAAUAUAAUUUAUUUAAAUAAAAAUUAUUUUAUUGGGGUGAUAGGAAAAUUUAAUUAACUUUUUUUAUUUUAAAACAUUGAUAUAUGAAUAUUUGAUCCUUUAUUAAAGAUUAUAAAUUUAAGUUACCUCAGGGAUAACAGCGUAAUUUUUUUAGAGAGUUCAUAUCGAUAAAAAAGAUUGCGACCUCGAUGUUGAAUUAAAGGUUAUUUUUAAAUGUAGAAGUUUAAAGUUUAAGUCUGUUCGACUUUUGAAUCUUU
RNAcentral lists this ribosomal RNA (506 nucleotides) under Mantispa styriaca. RNAcentral's name for it is "partial 16S ribosomal RNA". It matches the Rfam family "Bacterial large subunit ribosomal RNA", at positions 1830 to 2597 of the family's 2925-position model. Lineage: Eukaryota; Metazoa; Arthropoda; Insecta; Neuroptera; Mantispidae. The record is from RNAcentral.